ACGGGUGAGUAACGCGUGGGAAUCUACCUAGUUCUACGGAACAACACAGGGAAACUUGUGCUAAUACCGUAUACGCCCUACGGGGGAAAGAUUUAUCGGAAUUAGAUGAGCCCGCGUAAGAUUAGCUAGUUGGUGGGGUAAUGGCCUACCAAGGCGACGAUCUUUAGCUGGUCUGAGAGGAUGAUCAGCCACACUGGGACUGAGACACGGCCCAGACUCCUACGGGAGGCAGCAGUGGGGAAUAUUGGACAAUGGGCGCAAGCCUGAUCCAGCCAUGCCGCGUGAGUGAUGAAGGCCUUAGGGUUGUAAAGCUCUUUCAGUGGGGACGAUAAUGACGGUACCCACAGAAGAAGCCCCGGCUAACUUCGUGCCAGCAGCCGCGGUAAUACGAAGGGGGCUAGCGUUGUUCGGAUUUACUGGGCGUAAAGCGCACAUAGGCGGAUCGUUAAGUCGGGGGUGAAAUCCUGGAGCUCAACUCCAGAACUGCCUUCGAUACUGGCGAUCUUGAGUCCGGAAGAGGUGAGUGGAACUCCUAGUGUAGAGGUGGAAUUCGUAGA
Molecule: ribosomal RNA, 557 nt
Filed under: uncultured Devosia sp.
Lineage: Bacteria; Pseudomonadati; Pseudomonadota; Alphaproteobacteria; Hyphomicrobiales; Devosiaceae
Description: bacterial SSU rRNA
Rfam family: Bacterial small subunit ribosomal RNA
Source: RNAcentral